AACGAACGCUGGCGGCAUGCCUUACACAUGCAAGUCGAACGGCAGCGCGGGGCAACCUGGCGGCGAGUGGCGAACGGGUGAGUAAUAUAUCGGAACAUACCCUAGAGUGGGGGAUAACGUAGCGAAAGUUACGCUAAUACCGCAUACGCACUAAGGUGGAAAGUGGGGGAUUCGCAAGAACCUCAUGCUUAUGGAGUGGCCGAUAUCUGAUUAGCUAGUUGGUGAGGUAAAGGCUCACCAAGGCAACGAUCAGUAGCUGGUUUGAGAGAACGACCAGCCACACUGGAACUGAGACACGGUCCAGACUCCUACGGGAGGCAGCAGUGGGGAAUUUUGGACAAUGGGGGGCAACCCUGAUCCAGCAAUGCCGCGUGAGUGAAGAAGGCCUU
RNAcentral lists this ribosomal RNA (389 nucleotides) under uncultured bacterium. RNAcentral's name for it is "bacterial SSU rRNA". It matches the Rfam family "Bacterial small subunit ribosomal RNA", at positions 29 to 418 of the family's 1533-position model. The record is from RNAcentral.